GUUUUCGGGGCGGGGUGAGAUUCCCCACCGGCGGUAUUUCCGGGAUACAUCCCGGGGGAGCCCGCGAGCCAUGCUGGAGACAGAUGGCAUGAUCCGGUGAGAUUCCGGAGCCGACAGUAUAGUCUGGAUGAGAGAAAAC
RNAcentral lists this non-coding RNA (139 nucleotides) under human gut metagenome. RNAcentral describes it as "FMN riboswitch (RFN element)". It matches the Rfam family "FMN riboswitch aptamer (RFN element)". From Rfam's summary of the family: The RFN element is a highly conserved domain that is found frequently in the 5'-untranslated regions of prokaryotic mRNAs that encode for flavin mononucleotide (FMN) biosynthesis and transport proteins. The record is from RNAcentral.